CCCGGCUAGCUCAAUCGGUAGAGCGUGAGACUCUUAAUCUCAAGGUUGUGGGUUCGACCCGUAAGUUGGAA
This is a non-coding RNA of Colletotrichum caudatum, 71 nucleotides long. The record is from the annotation of a GenBank genome assembly. Lineage: Eukaryota; Fungi; Ascomycota; Sordariomycetes; Glomerellales; Glomerellaceae.